Molecule: long non-coding RNA, 819 nt
Filed under: Homo sapiens (human)
Lineage: Eukaryota; Metazoa; Chordata; Mammalia; Primates; Hominidae
Description: non-protein coding LINC01859:20
Source: RNAcentral
CAUCUAUCGCCUAAGUGAUGUGACUCUUUUUCUGCCUGCAGCCUGCACAUAGAGAAGAUUGUGACAUAUAGCUCUGCCCAGUAACCAGGAGACAUGCCCAAAAAAGGGAUUGUGGCAUAUCUCUGAGCCCAGCACCCAAAUGUUGUGACUCUCCUGCCUGAGCUGUGCCUAGAGAAAAUAUUAUAAUAUGUCACCGGACCCUGCAUGCAAGUGAUCCAAUUCUCCAGUCUGGGCCUUGCCCAUAGAGGAGAUUGAGACAUAUUCCAGGUGAAGAAUUCAGGUGGAUGGUGACUCUAAGACCAGGAUUCAACACACCUAGAAGGCUUUGACUCUGAUACCAGUCACAGAAGGCUCUGUGACUCUUCUAUUUUCUCUAGGUCAUGCAAAUGGAGGCGGAUUUUGACAUAUCAUAAAGCCAACAUAAUACACAGUCUGCAGGUGGAAUUGGGACUCUCAUGCAUGGAUCCAGUUCAUCAUUGAUACUGUGACUCAUGUACUUGGAUGCAACUCACAGGAGGUGUUGACGCUUUUUACCUGAAGCUGGGACAUGUGUGGAAUUGUGAAUCCUAGCCCUAGAUCUUCCCACAGGUCAUGCAAAUGGAGGGGGAUUGUUACAUAUCAUAGGGCCAACACAAAAAUAAUGUAAAACUCCUGCCUGAGCCAUGCCCAUAGAAGGCAUUGUGACAUAUCACCCGUCACAGCACUCAGGUGGGAUUUUGACAUAUAACUGCACCCAGCACACAGGUGAAGUAUCUCGUAUGCUCAUCCUGCCAAAAGUUAUGAGUGUCACCCUCACACAUGGACAGAGACCUCUGGUUA